This 373-nucleotide ribosomal RNA is filed under the name uncultured bacterium. Its description in RNAcentral is "bacterial SSU rRNA". It matches the Rfam family "Bacterial small subunit ribosomal RNA", at positions 524 to 898 of the family's 1533-position model. The record is from RNAcentral.
UACGGAGGGUGCAAGCGUUAUCCGGAAUCACUGGGUUUAAAGGGUGCGUAGGCGGUUUUAUAAGUCAGGGGUGAAAGCAUGCAGCUUAACUGUAUAAUUGCCUUUGAUACUGUAAGACUUGAAUAAGGUUGAGGUUGGCGGAAUGUGACAUGUAGCGGUGAAAUGCUUAGAUAUAUCAUAGAACACCGAUUGCGAAGGCAGCUGACUGGGCCUUUAUUGACGCUGAGGCACGAAAGCGUGGGGAGCGAACAGGAUUAGAUACCCUGGUAGUCCACGCCCUAAACGAUGUAUACUCGUUGUUUGCAUCUUGAAUGUGAGCAACCAAGCGAAAGCGUUAAGUAUACCACCUGGGGAGUACGCCCGCAAGGGUGAA